This 721-nucleotide long non-coding RNA is filed under the name Homo sapiens (human). Its description in RNAcentral is "testis expressed 41". The record is from RNAcentral. Lineage: Eukaryota; Metazoa; Chordata; Mammalia; Primates; Hominidae.
AGACCUAUGAAGGUCGAAGGGGAAGAAAAGCUGUAUCGAUUGUUGAGAUCUGGCGACUUGUUUAAAUUUCAUCAGCCUCACUUCUAUGAACUCUCAGGACAAACUGCAACAGAGUCACAUCGAGUUGAGACUUCUCCAAGGGCCAUGGGGUUGACAUCUGUAUUCUCAGGCCUCACGUGUACCAGCUCUCUGCUCUCCUUUGCCUUGGGACGUUCCAUCCCUGGAAGUUUCCCUGCCCACAUCUUUGUAGAGAGUCCAUUCUCCAAGCUUCAGUGUGUCAUCUGUGAGGACCGUGACCCACCUGGUACAUCGCCUCAGGGCAUUCAUUUCAGGCUCCUUCUAAAUGGCCAAGAUCUUGCUUUCUUUUGUAUGUUUGCAAAGAAUAUAUAGUACACUUCCUUGAUCUGUGGUUCCUAAAGUGUGAUUCCCAACAAGCAGCAUCAGGAUCAUCUGGAAACUUGAUAGAAAUGUAAAUUCUACAGUCCCUCCUUGGAGCUACAGAUUCAGAAAUUCUGAAGUUUAAGUCCAGCAGUUGGUUAUAAUAAGCUCUCUAGGUGAUUCUGACUUGCACCAAGGUUGGUGGACCAAUGCCUUAGAUUAGUAAAAAGCACUGUCAUAGAGUAAGCACUGCCAAAUCCACAGAUAUUCAUUGAAUGGCUACCAGACAUAAGAUACUAUGUACACUGAUUAGAAAAGUAAAUACAUAAAGCAGAUCUCAUGA